UUUUUGCUGAGGUGGACAACUGAACAUUCCCCAGCUCGAGAAAUUUGCUUCUGCCACCUCCACCCCUUUAUAAGGGGGGAGUCACAGAGCUUUGGUCUCCAUAGCCCCUUUACACCUAUAUAUUAAGCAGCCACCUGUGGAGAAGAGAUUGAAUGUCUCUACCCUAAUUAAACGCUAAUAUGAGGAGGCCAGGAAAAUCCUGCACCGUCAGUUCUGUAACCCUCGCAGCCCCUGGAUAGGCGUUCUCUCUGUUCGGUACAGCUUUUCUUGUGGCAGCGUGUUUGUGGUGGUCAUCCAGCCACAGAGAGCUGCCUCUUCCUCUAGGCGUAAGAGCGCCUCCUUACAUCUGUUUUCACCAGGCUUAGAUCCCCAGCUGGCUUGUCUGUCUGAGUUGGAGGUGGAGGGCUUGAUAGCAGCUUCCCCCCUUGCCAAGACUCUAUGUGAGAUCAAGCAAGCUUUGGUGAAGCUGCAGCAGCCUUCAGACCUCAUUACUGCAGAGAAAUGUUUAAGUGACAGUUCCUCAGAAAAUACCGGAAGUACCCUGGUCCCCACAGAUCUGGCCAGUUUGUCCCCUUACCAGUUUAUAGUGUACCGCUUUGGCUGUGCAGUGCUUCGCCUGUUAAUCAGGACCUAUUCGUGCCCAGCUCUGGUACUUAAGCUGGCUCGGUCGGUUCCUGCCCGAAGUCCAGAUCAAGAUGUUCUCCCAGUCCUUAGAGACUCUCACUAUGACGCCAUCAACAGGUACCUGUAUAUACGUGCAACAAGGCUGGAGGAUGCCGGGGAAUUUAUUGCCAUCUUGCUGAGCGCUGUGGCGUGGAUCAAAGCAGGUAUGGCUGUGAUGAGUGUGUCCCCCAUGGGAACAGUAAUGCUGCUCUUCACACUGACUCAGAUCUUGCGUUGA
Molecule: long non-coding RNA, 901 nt
Filed under: Struthio camelus australis
Lineage: Eukaryota; Metazoa; Chordata; Aves; Struthioniformes; Struthionidae
Description: lncRNA (ENSSCUG00000012077.1)
Source: RNAcentral